CGGGGAGGGUCAUUGGAAACUGGGGAACUUGAGUGCCGAAAAGAAAAGCGGAAUUCCCCGUGUAGCGGUGAAAUGCGUAAAGAUGUGGAGGAACACCAGUGGCGAAGGCGGCUUUUUGGUCUGUAACUGACGCUGAGGCGCGAAAGCGUGGGGAGCAAACAGGAUUAGAUACCCUGGUAGUCCACGCCGUAAACGAUGAGUGCUAAGUGUUAGAGGGUCUCCGCCCUUUAGUGCUGCAGCUAACGUAUUAAGCACUCCGCCUGGGGAGUACGGUCGCAAGACUGAAACUCAAAGGAAUUGACGGGGGCCCGCACAAGCGGUGGAACAUGUGUUUUAAUUCGAAGCAACGCGAAGAACCUUACCAGGUCUUGACAUCCUGUGACAACUCUAGAGAUAGAGCGUCCCCCUUCAGGGGACAGAGUGA
RNAcentral lists this ribosomal RNA (424 nucleotides) under Priestia flexa. RNAcentral's name for it is "bacterial SSU rRNA". It matches the Rfam family "Bacterial small subunit ribosomal RNA", at positions 614 to 1034 of the family's 1533-position model. The record is from RNAcentral. Lineage: Bacteria; Bacillati; Bacillota; Bacilli; Caryophanales; Bacillaceae.